Styela clava is the source of this 1873-nucleotide non-coding RNA. Lineage: Eukaryota; Metazoa; Chordata; Ascidiacea; Stolidobranchia; Styelidae. The record is from RefSeq and is a predicted model, not a curated record.
UACCAUGAUGCGCAACUAAAGCCUUGACCAAUGAGGAGUGUCUGACGCGAUACGCUCCAUUGCGGCAACUUGAUUCGUUAACGCCCACUCGAGUUCCCAGCGUUUUGCUGCAGUUUCACCUUAUCUGUUGGUCGCAUCGGACUCAAGGGCUGUAGUUAUUAUAUAAUCAGUGGCUAUUAUGGCUAAUAAAGGUGCUCAACAUGUAAAAAGUUAUUUUCCAGCGUGGCAUCUUUGGCUCAACAUAUUCACAAACAAGGCAGAGAUAUUAGUGUGGAGAAAAUUGUAGUGGAAGAUCAUUGCAGCCACUGUCCAUAUUUUACCAAAUGUGGUCAAAUACUUACAAUUGUUGCUGAAGAAAAGCCCUGAGUGAUCAAAUGUUAUCCUUCAGCUGUGAUGCAGUUAGCGUUAUUCCUCACACUCGAACAGAGUAUUCCAGGUUUACUAUACCCUCCAGUCUGUCGGGAAAUUAUUUGAUAGAUUCACAGCCAAAGAAAUGGAUAAAACGAAAGAUUUACUGGAUUCAAGUUCUAUCAUAUUGAAUGACGAUGAGGUCCAUAUAAUCCAAUACAAUGCUGGGUUUAUUUUACGAAAAAUGCAAAAACGAUGCUAAGACCCGGAAGACUGCAAAAGAAUCCAGUCAUUAUUUAAUCCCGAACCGGACUGUUUGAUAACUCUGACUCUAUGAUUGCAGUAAUGCAGGAAACAGAAUAUGGACGCCUAACCGUACCAUUGCCCAGUGUCCAAGCUGCUCAAAAUUGAAUUUAGAUUAAACUAUGCUCAUGAAGGUGUUACAGCCACAGUUUUUGAAAAUUUUAAUAUAGAAUCAUUUGCUGCUGGACAUCUUGGAAAAAUAAGGUGCCAUCAAACAGAAUUUAUCCCUACGAAAACUGCUUAAAAAAUAAAUGUAGAUGAAGAGCAUGAUCUCUUUUCACUUUAUUUUGCAAGGUAGUGCGUUUAGAUGUGAUUCCAGUUUUAUUUUUAAUACUUUAGCAGUAAUUAAACAAAGCAAUCUAUUUUUCAUAACAAAAUUUUCAUUGCAAUAUAGUAUAUUUUCAUGACAAUAGGCAAUGUAAGUUGCAUAAUAAAAAUACAACAUAUCUAGAACUGUUUGAGUUGUCCCAGCGACAGAUGAUUCCAGUUGCGUAUUCCUGGAAUGAAAAUUAUUUUCAAGCCAAAUCAUACGCUCACCAAUGCUAUGGAAUGGUCGGAGCACUUUUUUAGGCACUCCCGUAGUAUGUGUACCAAGAUAGCGCACAACCUAAUAACCCCAACCUGGUACACAUAUUACGGGAGCACCCUUUUUUAUAUCCAAAAUUUAGCCAAGUAUUCAUAAUAUCAAACCAUUUAUCCAUAGACAAUGCUGACCAAGAGCUCUGGCCCACCUCUCUGCUGCAUCAAUCUUGCAGCAGUCUUAGAUAGCACCUGGGCUGCAUAUUUGACACACACUUUUAGGUAGCUUUGUAAGCACAAGUGGGAUUUCGUCAAUUUGCAGGAGCGGAACUUUUCGGAUGAAAAAGAAGGGUACUGCACGAAAAUGGUCAUCUUUUUUAAUAGGCGAAUUCCACCAGCGUGACUCGCAAACACAUUAUUGCGUACUGUUUUGAGUAAAUGAAAUGAUCAGGACCAUUGAUACAUGUAUAUGGGAAAGUUAACCUCAAAUUAUUUAACUCAUGGAACAUUUUACGGUUUGCACUAAGUCCAUCUGUAAUGAGCCCCAAACCCACUUCUCCAACACUUUCCCAGAAAAUGCUGGCGAGAUGGUCUGAGCGGAUACCGUCAAGGGCUUUGAAAACUUCCCAAUCAAACCAUGUGCAUAAACUUGCAGUGCAUUGUGUGCAGGAACUUUUUCUCGACUCUCCCAAGUCAACAAAGC